RNAcentral lists this ribosomal RNA (406 nucleotides) under uncultured bacterium. RNAcentral's name for it is "partial 16S ribosomal RNA". It matches the Rfam family "Bacterial small subunit ribosomal RNA", at positions 29 to 526 of the family's 1533-position model. The record is from RNAcentral.
AUUGAACGCUGGCGGCAGGCCUAACACAUGCAAGUCGAGCGAGAGGCGGACGGGUGAGUAAUCGCCGGGAAACUGCCGGAUGGAGGGGGAGAACUACUGGAAACGGUAGCUAAUACUGCAUCGCAUCAGAUGGGCACAGAUGGGAUUAGCUGGUAGGUGGGGGAACGGCUCACCUGGGCGACGAUCCCUAGCUGGUCUGAGAGGAUGACCAGCCAAACUGGACCUGAGCCACGGCCCAGACUCCUACGGGAGGCACCAGUGGGGAAUAUUGCACAAUGGCCGCAGGCCUGAUGCGCCCAGGCCGCGUGUGUGAAGCAGGCCUUCGGUUUGUAAAGCCCUUUCAGCUGGGAGACGUUACCCGAAGAAGAAGCACCGGCUAACUCCGUGCCAGCAGCCGCGGUAAUUC